GACUUCAGUUCCUCCACACACUGCAAAGCUUCAUGCAGAAGCCGUGCAUUGAAAUAUUCCUUCAAAAGUGAUACCGUUUUCCUCCUAAGUUCCUCCGGAUUUAAGCUUGCAACUGGUCUCUCAACAGUGGGAGGCACAUAGGAAGCAGAUGAAGUUUUACUAGGUACAGGGACUUGAGCAGGUAGCUCAUUACCCAAACCAACACCGUAAGGGCGAGGAGGAGGACCAGUACUUCCUUGCAAGAGGGCACUGCUCUUUCCACCUAUAAAGCCACCACUACC
This 281-nucleotide unclassified non-coding RNA is filed under the name Hevea brasiliensis (rubber tree). Lineage: Eukaryota; Viridiplantae; Streptophyta; Magnoliopsida; Malpighiales; Euphorbiaceae. The record is from RNAcentral.